Paramisgurnus dabryanus is the source of this 269-nucleotide long non-coding RNA. RefSeq lists it as uncharacterized. NCBI's taxonomy places the organism in Eukaryota, Metazoa, Chordata, Actinopteri, Cypriniformes, Cobitidae. The record is from RefSeq and is a predicted model, not a curated record.
AUUUGUGUGUGUUUUCUUACUGUUUAGCACAAACGUUUCCUGCGCAAGCUUGAAUUUCUCUCACACAAACAUUUCCCGCGCAAGUUUGAAUUUCUCUAGGACUGAUGGAUGGCCAUUCACUCAUAAAACCUUUUAAAGGUUAGCAGGAAUGCGUCCAGCAUAAUUUUAGAUCUUUACCAUUGAGGAGACUGGCUUACUGACUGUUCUCAACCAACCAUCAUUCACUAACAAAAACUUGAAAGGUACCACAUUUAUUUAUUAUGUUGUUA